This 67-nucleotide transfer RNA is filed under the name Mitsukurina owstoni (goblin shark). RNAcentral describes it as "tRNA-Cys". Lineage: Eukaryota; Metazoa; Chordata; Chondrichthyes; Lamniformes; Mitsukurinidae. The record is from RNAcentral.
AGCCCUGCAGUAGACAGUUACGUUGGGUUGCAAACCCAAAACCGGAGAUUAGUUCCUCCUGGGGCUU